RNAcentral lists this unclassified non-coding RNA (376 nucleotides) under uncultured bacterium. RNAcentral describes it as "contains 16S-23S intergenic spacer region". The record is from RNAcentral.
UCACGUCUUACGACGGCAGUUUCACUAGAGUUCCCAGCGUUACCUGAUGGCAACUAGUGAUAGGGGUUGCGCUCGUUGCGGGACUUAACCCAACAUCUCGCGACACGAGCUGACGACAGCCAUGCAGCACCUGUGCGCGAUCUCCGAAGAGGGGCUCUCGUUUCUGAGAGCUUGCUCGCGCAUGUCAAGCCUAGGUAAGGUUCUUCGCGUUGCGUCGAAUUAAACCACAUGCUCCACCGCUUGUGCGGGCCCCCGUCAAUUCCUUUGAGUUUCAAUCUUGCGAUCGUACUCCCCAGGUGGAUCACUUAACGCUUUCGCUAGGAGACUGACCGUACAUCGCCAAUCUCGAGUGAUCAUCGUUUACGGCGUGGACUAC